RNAcentral lists this unclassified non-coding RNA (184 nucleotides) under uncultured Cyphellophora. RNAcentral describes it as "sequence contains ITS2". Lineage: Eukaryota; Fungi; Ascomycota; Eurotiomycetes; Chaetothyriales; Herpotrichiellaceae. The record is from RNAcentral.
UCACCCCUCAAGCUCGGCUUGUUGUUGGACGUUGGCGGCGGCCUUUAGUGGCGUACCGCCCGUCUCAAAGAUAAUGACGGCGUCUGUGAGGACUCCUGUACACUGAGCUUUCGGGCACGUACUAGGCUGAUACUCGCAGACCCGGUCUUUAGGGUUCGCUUCGGCGAGCCCAACUUUUUACCAA